This 22-nucleotide non-coding RNA is filed under the name Arabidopsis thaliana (thale cress). Lineage: Eukaryota; Viridiplantae; Streptophyta; Magnoliopsida; Brassicales; Brassicaceae. The record is from RNAcentral.
AAAGCGUGGCCUAUCGAUCCUU